UUCCGGUUGAUCCUGCCGGACCUGACUGCUAUCGGAUUGAUACUAAGCCAUGUGAGUCAUUGUAGUAAUACAAGGCAGACGGCUCAGUAACACGUAGCCAAUCUAACCUAUGGACGGGGAUAACCUCGGGAAACUGAGGAUAAACCCCGAUAGAUCAUUAUGCCUGGAAAGGUUUAUGGUCCAAAUGAUUCGUCGCCGUAGGAUGAGACUGCGGCCUAUCAGCUUGUUGGUGAGGUAAUGGCCCACCAAGGCUAUUACAGGUACGGGCUCUGAGAGGAGAAGCCCGGAGAUGGGUACUGAGACACGGACCCAGGCCCUAUGGGGCGCAGCAGGCGAGAAACCUUUGCAAUGUGCGCAAGCACGACAAGGUUAAUCCGAGUGUUUCCUGCUAAAGGAAUCUUUUGUUAGUCCUAAAAACACUAGUGAAUAAGGGGUGGGCAAGUUCUGGUGUCAGCCGCCGCGGUAAAACCAGCACCUCAAGUGGUCAGGAGGAUUAUUGGGCCUAAAGCAUCCGUAGCUUGCUCUGUAAGUUUCCGGUUAAAUCCAUUAGCUCAACUAAUGGCCUGCCGGAAAUACUGCAAAGCUAGGGAGUGGGAGAGGUAGACGGUACUCGGUAGGAAGGGGUAAAAUCCUUUGAUCUAUUGAUGACCACCUGUGGCGAAGGCGGUCUACCAGAACACGUUCGACAGUGAGGGAUGAAAGCUGGGGGAGCAAACCGGAUUAGAUACCCGGGUAGUCCCAGCUGUAAACGAUGCAGACUCGAUGAUGCACUGGCUUGUGGCCAGUGCAGUGUCGCAGGGAAGCCGUUAAGUUUGCCGCCUGGGAAGUACGUACGCAAGUAUGAAACUUAAAGGAAUUGGCGGGGGAGCACCACAAGGGGUGAAGCCUGCGGUUCAAUUGGAAUCAACGCCGGUAAUCU
This 919-nucleotide ribosomal RNA is filed under the name uncultured archaeon. Its description in RNAcentral is "bacterial SSU rRNA". It matches the Rfam family "Archaeal small subunit ribosomal RNA", at positions 1 to 927 of the family's 1478-position model. The record is from RNAcentral.